Molecule: ribosomal RNA, 199 nt
Filed under: uncultured bacterium
Lineage: Bacteria
Description: partial 16S ribosomal RNA
Rfam family: Bacterial small subunit ribosomal RNA
Source: RNAcentral
ACGCUCGACACCUACGGGAGGCAGCAGUGGGGAAUAUUGCACAAUGGGGGAAACCCGUGAUGCAGCGACGCCGCGUGGAGGAAGAAGGUCUUCGGAUUGUAAACUCCUGUUGUUGGGGAAAAAGAGGAUGGUACCCAACAAGGAAGUGACGGCUAACUACGUGCUAGCAGCCGCGGUAAUCUGAGCGGGCUGGCAAGGC